Molecule: ribosomal RNA, 1712 nt
Filed under: Campylobacter coli
Lineage: Bacteria; Pseudomonadati; Campylobacterota; Epsilonproteobacteria; Campylobacterales; Campylobacteraceae
Description: bacterial LSU rRNA
Rfam family: Bacterial large subunit ribosomal RNA
Source: RNAcentral
AAGUGGUAGGAGAGCGUUCUAUUUGCGUCGAAGGUAUACCGGUAAGGAGUGCUGGAGCGAAUAGAAGUGAGCAUGCAGGCAUGAGUAGCGAUAAUUAAUGUGAGAAUCAUUAACGCCGUAAACCCAAGGUUUCCUACGCGAUGCUCGUCAUCGUAGGGUUAGUCGGGUCCUAAGUCGAGUCCGAAAGGGGUAGACGAUGGCAAAUUGGUUAAUAUUCCAAUACCAACAUUAGUGUGCGAUGGAAGGACGCUUAGGGCUAAGGGGGCUAGCGGAUGGAAGUGCUAGUCUAAGGUCGUAGGAGGUUAUACAGGCAAAUCCGUAUAACAAUACUCCGAGAACUGAAAGGCUUUUUGAAGUCUUCGGAUGGAUAGAAGAACCCCUGAUGCCAUCGAGCCAAGAAAAGUUUCUAAGUUUAGCUAAUGUUGCCCGUACCGUAAACCGACACAGGUGGGUGGGAUGAGUAUUCUAAGGCGCGUGGAAGAACUCUCUUUAAGGAACUCUGCAAAAUAGCACCGUAUCUUCGGUAUAAGGUGUGGUUCGCUUCGUAUUAGGAUUUACUCCGAAAGCGAAGAAACUUACAACAAAGAGUCCCUCCCGACUGUUUACCAAAAACACAGCACUCUGCUAACUCGUAAGAGGAUGUAUAGGGUGUGACGCCUGCCCGGUGCUCGAAGGUUAAUUGAUGGGGUUAGCAUUAGCGAAGCUCUUGAUCGAAGCCCGAGUAAACGGCGGCCGUAACUAUAACGGUCCUAAGGUAGCGAAAUUCCUUGUCGGUUAAAUACCGACCUGCAUGAAUGGCGUAACGAGAUGGGAGCUGUCUCAAAGAGGGAUCCAGUGAAAUUGUAGUGGAGGUGAAAAUUCCUCCUACCCGCGGCAAGACGGAAAGACCCCGUGGACCUUUACUACAGCUUGACACUGCUAUUUGGAUAAGAAUGUGCAGGAUAGGUGGGAGGCUUUGAGUAUAUGACGCCAGUUGUAUAUGAGCCAUUGUUGAGAUACCACUCUUUCUUAUUUGGGUAGCUAACCAGCUUGAGUUAUCCUCAAGUGGGACAAUGUCUGGUGGGUAGUUUGACUGGGGCGGUCGCCUCCCAAAUAAUAACGGAGGCUUACAAAGGUUGGCUCAGAACGGUUGGAAAUCGUUCGUAGAGUAUAAAGGUAUAAGCCAGCUUAACUGCAAGACAUACAAGUCAAGCAGAGACGAAAGUCGGUCUUAGUGAUCCGGUGGUUCUGUGUGGAAGGGCCAUCGCUCAAAGGAUAAAAGGUACCCCGGGGAUAACAGGCUGAUCUCCCCCAAGAGCUCACAUCGACGGGGAGGUUUGGCACCUCGAUGUCGGCUCAUCGCAUCCUGGGGCUGGAGCAGGUCCCAAGGGUAUGGCUGUUCGCCAUUUAAAGCGGUACGCGAGCUGGGUUCAGAACGUCGUGAGACAGUUCGGUCCCUAUCUGCCGUGGGCGUAAGAAGAUUGAAGAGAUUUGACCCUAGUACGAGAGGACCGGGUUGAACAAACCACUGGUGUAGCUGUUGUUCUGCCAAGAGCAUCGCAGCGUAGCUAAGUUUGGAAAGGAUAAACGCUGAAAGCAUCUAAGCGUGAAGCCAACUCUAAGAUGAAUCUUCUCUAAGCUCUCUAGAAGACUACUAGUUUGAUAGGCUGGGUGUGUAAUGGAUGAAAGUCCUUUAGCUGACCAGUACUAAUAGAGCGUUUGGCUUAUCUUUA